CUCGCUGUGAAGAUGCAGUGUACCCGCGGCAAGACGGAAAGACCCCGUGAACCUUUACUAUAGCUUGACACUGAACAUUGAGCCUUGAUGUGUAGGAUAGGUGGGAGGCUUUGAAGUGUGGACGCCAGUCUGCAUGGAGCCGACCUUGAAAUACCACCCUUUAAUGUUUGAUGUUCUAACGUUGACCCGUAAUCCGGGUUGCGGACAGUGUCUGGUGGGUAGUUUGACUGGGGCGGUCUCCUCCUAAAGAGUAACGGAGGAGCACGAAGGUUGGCUAAUCCUGGUCGGACAUCAGGAGGUUAGUGCAAUGGCAUAAGCCAGCUUGACUGCGAGCGUGACGGCGCGAGCAGGUGCGAAAGCAGGUCAUAGUGAUCCGGUGGUUCUGAAUGGAAGGGCCAUCGCUCAACGGAUAAAAGGUACUCCGGGGAUAACAGGCUGAUACCGCCCAAGAGUUCAUAUCGACGGCGGUGUUUGGCACCUCGAUGUCGGCUCAUCACAUCCUGGGGCUGAAGUAGGUCCCAAGGGUAUGGCUGUUCGCCAUUUAAAGUGGUACGCGAGCUGGGUUUAGAACGUCGUGAGACAGUUCGGUCCCUAUCUGCCGUGGGCGCUGGAGAACUGAGGGGGGCUGCUCCUAGUACGAGAGGACCGGAGUGGACGCAUCACUGGUGUUCGGGUUGUCAUGCCAAUGGCACUGCCCGGUAGCUAAAUGCGGAAGAGAUAAGUGCUGAAAGCAUCUAAGCACGAAACUUGCCCCGAGAUGAGUUCUCCCUGACUCCUUGAGAGUCCUGAAGGAACGUUGAAGACGACGACGUUGAUAGGCCGGGUGUGUAAGCGCAGCGAUGCGUUGAGCUAACCGGUACUAAUGAACCGUGAGGCUUAACCUUACAACGCCGAAG
RNAcentral lists this ribosomal RNA (896 nucleotides) under Escherichia coli. RNAcentral's name for it is "partial 23S ribosomal RNA". It matches the Rfam family "Bacterial large subunit ribosomal RNA", at positions 2045 to 2925 of the family's 2925-position model. The record is from RNAcentral. Lineage: Bacteria; Pseudomonadati; Pseudomonadota; Gammaproteobacteria; Enterobacterales; Enterobacteriaceae.